RNAcentral lists this ribosomal RNA (332 nucleotides) under uncultured eukaryote. RNAcentral describes it as "partial 18S ribosomal RNA". It matches the Rfam family "Eukaryotic small subunit ribosomal RNA", at positions 1470 to 1796 of the family's 1831-position model. The record is from RNAcentral.
CCCUUAGAUGUCCUGGGCCACACGCGCGUUACACUGAUGCAUUCAACGAGCUUAUAACCUUGGCCGAGAGGCCUGGGCAAUCUUGUUAACGUGCAUCGUGAUAGGGAUAGAUUAUUGAAAUUAUUAAUCUUGAACGAGGAAUUCCUAGUAAACGCAGAUCAUCAAUCUGCAUUGAUUACGUCCCUGCCCUUUGUACACACCGCCCGUCGCACCUACCGAUUGAAUGGUUUAGUGAGAAUUUUGGACUGGAACUCCCUUGCUCAGCAAUGGGCGAGGGGGAGUCCGGGAAGCUAUUCUAACUGUAUCAUUUAGAGGAAGUAAAAGUCGUAACA